GCUGGUGCCAUGGGUCAGUGCAUCUGGCUGUAAACCAGAAGGUUGGUGGUUCGAGCCCACCUGCA
Podarcis lilfordi (Lilford's wall lizard) is the source of this 65-nucleotide non-coding RNA. Lineage: Eukaryota; Metazoa; Chordata; Lepidosauria; Squamata; Lacertidae. The record is from the annotation of a GenBank genome assembly.